Molecule: ribosomal RNA, 253 nt
Filed under: uncultured bacterium
Lineage: Bacteria
Description: partial 16S ribosomal RNA
Rfam family: Bacterial small subunit ribosomal RNA
Source: RNAcentral
GACGAACCGAGCGAACGUUGUUCGGAAUCACUGGGCUUAAAGGGCGCGUAGGCGGGCUGUCAAGUUUGGGGUGAAAUCCCACGGCUCAACCGUGGAACUGCCUCAAAUGCUGACGGUCUCGAGGGAGGUAGGGGCGAGCGGAACUGAUGGUGGAGCGGUGAAAUGCGUUGAUAUCAUCAGGAACUCCGGUGGCGAAGGCGGCUCGCUGGACCUCUUCUGACGCUGAGGCGCGAAAGCUAGGGGAGCAAACGGG